CAAUAGCGUAUAUUAAAGUUGUUGCAGUUAAAAAGCUCGUAGUUGAACUUCAGACCUGGCCGGGCGGUCUACCUCGCGGUAUGUACCAUCUGGCCGGGUCUUACCCCUUGGUGGGCCGGUAUGCCCUUCACUGGGUGUGCCGGGGAACCGGGACCUUUACCUUGAGAAAAUUAGAGUGUUCAAAGCAGGCCUAUGCCCGAAUACAUUAGCAUGGAAUAAUAAAAUAGGACGUGCGGUUCUAUUUUGUUGGUUUCUAGAGUCGCCGUAAUGAUUAAUAGGGAUAGUUGGGGGCAUUCGUAUUCAGUUGCUAGAGGUGAAAUUCUUGGAUUUACUGAAGACGAACUAUUGCGAANGNAUUUGGNAAGGAUGUUUNCAUUA
Molecule: ribosomal RNA, 378 nt
Filed under: uncultured eukaryote
Lineage: Eukaryota
Description: partial 18S ribosomal RNA
Rfam family: Eukaryotic small subunit ribosomal RNA
Source: RNAcentral